Molecule: long non-coding RNA, 433 nt
Filed under: Manacus vitellinus (golden-collared manakin)
Lineage: Eukaryota; Metazoa; Chordata; Aves; Passeriformes; Pipridae
Description: lncRNA (ENSMVIG00005015170.1)
Source: RNAcentral
GGCAGAGAAAACAAGCUGCAGAAAGCACCAGAAGGGCUUAAAGUGCUUUAGGAUUUUUUAUUUUUUAAUUUUUUUUUUAAUUGCCUCACAAGAACUUUCAUCUGCUUUCAUGCCAGGAAAACCUUUGUGAUGUAGAUGACUGACACCCAAAGACCAGAAAGCAAAGUUUCCACGCUGGAGUUGCCACAAAACCAAAGUCAUCAAAACAAACGAAAGCAAAAACCCAAACCUGGUGACUCUGAAAAAAUGAGGUAAAAAAAUACUAUUUAUUUUGAAAUUUAUGAUUACUUUGAGUUAUUUUAUGCAGCACUUAGAAAGGACUUAAUGUCCCUUGGACUUGCUGCUUUUUCUGUGUUUUUUUACAUACUGGUAGCUGGGUGAAGUUCCCAAAAUUCCAGUUUUCACAAAGAACCAGAGUUAUAACUUGAAAAUU